Long non-coding RNA from Micropterus dolomieu (smallmouth bass), 1606 nucleotides. RefSeq lists it as uncharacterized. Lineage: Eukaryota; Metazoa; Chordata; Actinopteri; Centrarchiformes; Centrarchidae. The record is from RefSeq and is a predicted model, not a curated record. The transcript has 2 exons.
UCUCUAACUGCACUUUACUGUCUUUAGUCUGUGUUAUUUGUACCGACUGUCUCCUGUACCACGGUGCAGCAGAUUAAUCAUAAUCUAUCCUUCUCUCUCUGACUAAUCUUUAGAACCAGUGUUGGGAGAAACGUGUUACAAAAGAAAAAUGCAAUUAACCAUAACGCACGUUACAGCAGCAGAAAAUAUGAGUCCAUGAGUAAAGUUAUUUCCUGUUAAAGUCUUUUACACACAGGUCUGAAAUACAGCAACACAUGGGAAGUGCUCACGCCAUGCAUCUGUGGACUGAGCCGGACUCGAACCGGCGACCCUCCGGUUCCCAGGCAGACAGAACUUUCCCAACACAUUCUACAGUUCGAUCUGCAGAUCAUUCGAUUCUCAUCAAGAAUCACACUGAGACUCAGAGGAGGCGACAGAUUGAACUCACAUUUGCAAUGGAGUCAUCAAAGUAUCGCUCCAACGCAGACUCGUCCAUGAGUGAAGAACCAUCUGAGCUGAUCCAGGACCUUCCAGGACCUGGUUCCAGGCAGGGAGCCGCACAGCUGCAUGCAAUCACUCUGAUGGGAUCCUGAACUCAUCAAACAGCUGCUGCUUUUAAUGUGUUUAGAGCUGCACGGCCCCCUUUUUACUUCAUUUGGAUCGCUCAAAGAGAUUCUGCUGUCAUCUCUGCUAAUCAAAGUAGUAAAUAGAGGAAACAAACUUUGAGCUCAUUAAUUGACAAAAGAUCAUUUUUCCUUUGAAAGCAAAGAUUUUUAUUGUGUCAUUUCUCUUGUUUCCUAAAAUGAAAGAGGUUCAUUUCAAAUGAUAUUUAUCCAUGUAAAGAUUUAAUUUAUUGUCUUUGUCAUCUUUCCUACAGCUCACUGUUUUUGUGACGAAGCAUGUGACGCCUGUUUUUGUUCCACAACAUUAAGUUUGGUUGUUUUAUGGGAAAAAAAACAAAGAUAUUGAGUUUUUGUUUAAUAAUAUUUUCAUUAUAGCUAAAUUUGAUAAACACAAGUGCAGAUUUUUAUAAGUAAUGUGACUGGAAAGAACAGAGCCUCAAGAGUUAUUUGAUGAUUUUAUUUUAAUUUAUUUUGAAGUUGUUUGCUGCUUAGAUUUGAUGUUAAGUUUAUUUAUUACAUUCUUUUAAUUGUUUGUCAGCUCAGACCUGAAAUAUCAAACUCUGAUUGAACUCUUAAUAUUUCCAAUACUCACCUUAAAGCGAUCAAACUACUGAGGAGCUCCUGCUCAGCACAGGUCGAAGUGCUUUAAUGAGACAGUUGAGAUGUGUAGAGAUGUGUUUUCACAAAGGAACAAAAACAAACUAUAAAGUACAACUACAAAUGACUAAAUGUAAUAUACGAUAACGUUCCUCUAAACUUCUCUUAAACGUUUUUCCUCCUCCUUUUAACUUCCUUUGAAUUGUGUCUCAUGUUGUUGCAGCUCUGAUGUUUCUACUCAUUAAUAUAAUCUGUCCUUCAUGUUUAAAGGUUUAUUUGUACAGCACAUUUCAGCAACAAGGCAACUCAAAGCACUUUACAUAAAGCAUAAAAGCAACGUAGGGAAAUAAAGACAUUUAGAUAACAUUUUUAAAAAGAGUCAAAAUAAAUAAGAACUUUUUACCUUC